AAAUCAAUGUAUAAGAGGUCUUACCUGCCCAGUGACUAAGUUAAACGGCCGCGGUAUUUUGACCGUGCUAAGGUAGCGCAAUCACUUGUCUUUUAAAUGAAGACCUGUAUGAAUGGUGGAACGAGGGCUUAACUGUCUCCCUUUUUAGGUCAAUGAAAUUGAUCUGCCCGUGCAGAAGCGGGCAUAAAAAUACAAGACGAGAAGACCCUUUGGAGCUUAAGACGUCAAGGUCAACUAUGUCAAAAAUUUUUAUAAACAAAAACAAAACAAAACACCAACUGACCAAAGUCUUCGGUUGGGGCGACCACGGGGGAAAAUAAAGCCCCCAUGUGGAAUGGGUAUAAACCUAAAACCACGAGGAACACCUCUAAGUCACAGAACAUCUGACCAAAAUGAUCCGGCACUUAGCCGAUUAACGAACCAAGUUACCCUAGGGAUAACAGCGCAAUCCCCUCCAAGAGUCCAUAUCGACAAGGGGGUUUACGACCUCGAUGUUGGAUCAGGACAUCCUAAUGGUGUAGCCGCUAUUAAGGGUUCGUUUGUUCAACGAUUAAAGU
RNAcentral lists this ribosomal RNA (557 nucleotides) under Creagrutus seductus. Its description in RNAcentral is "partial 16S ribosomal RNA". It matches the Rfam family "Bacterial large subunit ribosomal RNA", at positions 1835 to 2594 of the family's 2925-position model. Lineage: Eukaryota; Metazoa; Chordata; Actinopteri; Characiformes; Stevardiidae. The record is from RNAcentral.